This 74-nucleotide transfer RNA is filed under the name Cohaesibacter marisflavi. RNAcentral describes it as "tRNA_Cys_GCA". It matches the Rfam family "tRNA". From Rfam's summary of the family: Transfer RNA (tRNA) molecules are approximately 80 nucleotides in length. Their secondary structure includes four short double-helical elements and three loops (D, anti-codon, and T loops). Lineage: Bacteria; Pseudomonadati; Pseudomonadota; Alphaproteobacteria; Hyphomicrobiales; Cohaesibacteraceae. The record is from RNAcentral. RNAcentral also lists the same sequence under 5 other names.
GGCUCGAUGGCGGAGUGGUGACGCAGCGGAUUGCAAAUCCGUGUACGCCGGUUCGAUUCCGGCUCGAGCCUCCA